GGUAGCAGUGCCUCAACUGGCACAUUGCAAGCUAGUCUGCAGACACACAGGCCUCCUACCGCUCUUGCAGGGGCUAGCAUGCACGCGCGCAGGUGCUGGGCGCCGCUCGUAUUAGAAGCUGCUCGCACUGGCCUACUGUGCACAGGCCCCAGGCGCACAGGGCCUAUCCAUGCAGGCCUGCUGCACAGAUGGUGCGCACGCAGUUUGUGGCGCUUAUUCGCACAAAAGGUGUUGUGCAGACAGCCUGCCUGCGCGCAAUAGGACAAGCGUAGGUCUUGACCCGCGAUGUGUGCACGUCCCGUGCGUUCAUGUGUGCGGAUGGGACGUGCAUACUGUGUACACGUCCCG
RNAcentral lists this long non-coding RNA (348 nucleotides) under Carica papaya (papaya). RNAcentral's name for it is "long non-coding RNA (CPAP_LNC005859)". The record is from RNAcentral. Lineage: Eukaryota; Viridiplantae; Streptophyta; Magnoliopsida; Brassicales; Caricaceae.